AGAAUGAUGAGACGUGUUCCUCUCUCCUACAGACUCCCUGGGGAUGCUAUGUACACCUUACUGAUUUA
Molecule: non-coding RNA, 68 nt
Organism: Giardia lamblia ATCC 50803
Lineage: Eukaryota; Fornicata; Diplomonadida; Hexamitidae
Source: Rfam